GGGGUUGUAGCUCAGUGGUAGAGCUCCUGCCUUGAAUCCAUGAGGCCCUGGGUUCAAUCCUCAGCACCA
Molecule: transfer RNA, 69 nt
Filed under: Ictidomys tridecemlineatus (thirteen-lined ground squirrel)
Lineage: Eukaryota; Metazoa; Chordata; Mammalia; Rodentia; Sciuridae
Description: Spermophilus tridecemlineatus (thirteen-lined ground squirrel) tRNA
Rfam family: tRNA
About the family: Transfer RNA (tRNA) molecules are approximately 80 nucleotides in length. Their secondary structure includes four short double-helical elements and three loops (D, anti-codon, and T loops).
Source: Rfam by way of RNAcentral